Molecule: unclassified non-coding RNA, 250 nt
Filed under: plant metagenome
Description: partial contains small subunit ribosomal RNA, internal transcribed spacer 1, and 5.8S ribosomal RNA
Rfam family: 5.8S ribosomal RNA (bases 201-250)
Source: RNAcentral
GUAGGUGAACCUGCGGAAGGAUCAUUAUCGAAUAUGGAAUAUCGCAUUCUUAAACCCAUCCUGAGUACAUGUACUUGUUGCUUCCGUGGGCAGUGAACUUUGUGUUUGCGCCCGCUGAUGAAGUGGACCCACGGGAGAUACCAAUAAACUCUGCAUUUCUGUGUCAUACAGUCUGAUUUUGUUUAUUUAUUAAACGUUAAAACUUUCAACAACGGAUCUCUUGGUUCUCGCAUCGAUGAAGAACGCAGCA